AAACCAGCACCUCAAGUGGUCAGGAGGAUUAUUGGGCCUAAAGCAUCCGUAGCCUGUUCUGUAAGUUUUCGGUUAAAUCCACUAGCUCAACUAGUGGGCUGCCGAAAAUACUGUAGAACUAGGGAGUGGGAGAGGUAGACGGUAUUCGGUAGGAAGGGGUAAAAUCCUUUGAUCUAUUGAGGACCACCUGUGGCGAAGGCGGUCUACCAGAACACGUUCGACCGUGAGGGAUGAAAGCUGGGGGAGCAAACAGGAUUAGAAACCCCAGUAGUCC
This 274-nucleotide ribosomal RNA is filed under the name uncultured bacterium. RNAcentral describes it as "partial 16S ribosomal RNA". It matches the Rfam family "Archaeal small subunit ribosomal RNA", at positions 473 to 747 of the family's 1478-position model. The record is from RNAcentral.